RNAcentral lists this ribosomal RNA (211 nucleotides) under Burkholderia cenocepacia. Its description in RNAcentral is "partial 16S ribosomal RNA". It matches the Rfam family "Bacterial small subunit ribosomal RNA", at positions 1 to 224 of the family's 1533-position model. The record is from RNAcentral. Lineage: Bacteria; Pseudomonadati; Pseudomonadota; Betaproteobacteria; Burkholderiales; Burkholderiaceae.
UUGAACUGAAGAGUUUGAUCCUGGCUCAGAUUGAACGCUGGCGGCAUGCCUUACACAUGCAAGUCGAACGGCAGCACGGGUGCUUGCACCUGGUGGCGAGUGGCGAACGGGUGAGUAAUACAUCGGAACAUGUCCUGUAGUGGGGGAUAGCCCGGCGAAAGCCGGAUUAAUACCGCAUACGAUCUACGGAUGAAAGCGGGGGACCUUCGGG